UACCAGCUCUCCGAGUGGUGUGGAUGUUUAUUGGGCCUAAAGCAUCCGUAGCUGGCUGGACAAGUCCCCUGUUAAAUCCACCGAUUUAAUCGUUGGUGUGCGGGGGAUACUGUUCGGCUAGGGGACGGGAGAGGCCGACGGUAUUUCCGGGGUAGGGGUGAAAUCCUAUAAUCCCGGGAAGACCACCAGUGGCGAAGGCUGUCGGCUAGAACGCGCCCGACGGUGAGGGAUGAAAGCUGGGGGAGCGAACCGGAUUAGAUACCCGGGUAGUCCCAGCUGUAAACGAUGCAGGCUAGGUGUUUGGGCGGCCACGUGCCGCUCUAGUGCCGCAAGGAAGCUGUUAAGCCUGCUGCCUGGGGAUACGGCCGCAAGGCUGAAACUUAAGGAAUUGGCGGGGAGCACCACAAGGGGUGAAGCUUGCGGUUU
Molecule: ribosomal RNA, 426 nt
Filed under: uncultured archaeon
Lineage: Archaea
Description: bacterial SSU rRNA
Rfam family: Archaeal small subunit ribosomal RNA
Source: RNAcentral